RNAcentral lists this small nucleolar RNA (107 nucleotides) under Gossypium hirsutum (cotton). RNAcentral's name for it is "Plant small nucleolar RNA R71". It matches the Rfam family "Plant small nucleolar RNA R71". From Rfam's summary of the family: R71 is a member of the C/D box family of snoRNAs containing the C (UGAUGA) and D (CUGA) box motifs. The record is from Rfam by way of RNAcentral. Lineage: Eukaryota; Viridiplantae; Streptophyta; Magnoliopsida; Malvales; Malvaceae.
AAUCCAUGCAUCAGAGAUUUUUGAAUUAAAUCUUUAAAUCGUUCCUAAGCUUCAUAUAGUGUUUCAUUUUCCAAUUACCGAAAAGAUGUGAUGUCAUUUCUAAGCUU